UAGCAUAUUCGUGGCUCGGACCUGGAGGUGAAUCCCGCCCCUCAUUCCUCUUCCUUCCGCCCUGCCUGUACGUGAGGAGCCAGCUCCUGGAAGCCCAGGGGCGGGAGGGAGUUGAGCCCAAAUAAGAUGGAGCUGUGCCUUCUAAGAUUUGUGUCCUUUGAACACAAGUGACUAUGGUCUCUGGAGACCUCCCUGCCAUGUUCCAGAUAAACAUUGCCUGACCAACUGAAUUCAGAAUAUUUCAUUUUGACUGUUGAUUGCCAUUGCCUUCCUGCAUGAUUCAUUCACCACCUAUUUUCUUCUCACCUGUGUACCCCAAAUGGAAGAGAAUAUCCUUGCCUUAUUGUUUGGGGCCAAUUUGUGAGAUGAACAAUUAUAUUCCAUUCUUAAACUAAUAUUUUGAUUCCUGUCAAACACAAUAAACAUUUUAUUACCCUAGCAUGUAUAUAAAAGGACAUUUAUAGUAACGUAGCUACUUACAGUAAAAAUGGUUGCUAACAUUCUCUACUGUUUUAAGAUUUAUAAGGAUUUACAUGGGUUAUCACAUUUGAUCCACCACCUUCAACUGUUUGGAGUAUAGAUAAACCCAGAAUAUAACUAAAAAUGUGUGUAUUUAUAAGCAUACCUAGAAAGAAUCCAAGGGGAACCUAACAGGCAAAGAUGAAAAUAAAACACACUAUAAUUUGAUUGAUCAGUCUGCAAACCAGAGGAAAAGAAAUUUUUGUUGGAUUUCUAUGUUUAUGAACUCAGCCCAGUGUCAAAGCUAUGGCAUGUUAGACAAGUAGGAGAAAAAGAAACAAGAAAGAAUGGCAGGAAGGGAAAGUAAUAAUGAUCAGCAAGAAAGCAGAGCCAAGGUUAGUGGAAAACAGAAAUGGUGAUGGUGUUAGUGAGAGAAAAAUAUAACUAGAACAACAUAGCAGUUUGGGGACAUUCAGCCUAGCCAGCUCUCUGUCAGGGGCCUGAUCUGUAAUACAUUUUACUCUGUCAAUAACUUUUAUAUCCACAGCAUAAUACAAUGACUAGAGUUUAUUUUAUAUAUCUUUGUGAAUUGUUUGCUGAAAAAAAGGGAAGUUAUUUUAGAAUGAUGACUAUGGAAAUGUCAUUGGAUUUCUGAUAGUUAAGUUGAUAAAGAAUAUGAACAAGUUUUCAAAAGAAGAAAUUCAAACUAUCAACAACUGUAUGAAAAAAAUGUUUCAGACCCCCAAUAAGAGACAAGAUUUAAGAUUUAGCACUCAAAAGGACCUUUGACACUGUCAAGUCCAACCACUUCAUUUUACACUUGAGGAUGUUGUGGCCUAGGGAAGGAAAGUCACUUGCCACAGUCACACAGGUAGUAUUAGAGAUAGGAUUUGAACACAGAUCAUCUAACUCCAGACUGAGCUCUCACCUUUCACCUCCCACUUGUUGAAUUGACAAAGAAGUUAAAAGGCAAUGAGAGUAUUUGAAAAGACAUAUAACAUUGGAACAGCUCUGAACUGGACCAACCAUUCUGGAAAAUUAUUCAUAAUCAUGCCAGAAAAAUGGCCCAGCUCUUCUUAUCCUUUGAUCCCAUUACUUGCUAUGUGUUCCCUGAGGAGGUCAGACAGAAAGAAGAGCCACAGAGACAGACAUAUUCAUAAACAACACUGGAGGAAUAGAAUGACCAUAUACUGGGAAAUGAUUAAACAAAUCAAGUACAAAAAUGCAAUGAAAUGCUGCCCCAAGGCAAGAUCAAUCUUUAUGAGAAAUCAAUUUACAUAGAAACAAGAAUUAUAGGAACUGAUGCAAAGCAAUGAGGGCCAAAUACUGUGUUAGAAACAAAAACUCAAAGAUGCCAGUCUAAGGUUGGCUGCAGGGAACGGGUGGUUGGGGGGAUGGAUGGCCAUCCGGUAGAGGCAGGAAAUAACAGGUUCAGCAGGCUGCAGCCACUGGUGGGCAUAGCUGCUUUGUCCUUUGGGUUUUCUGGGUUGCUUGUCUUUUGUUACAAGGGACAAUCGUGGGGGAGUAUAUUGAAAGAUGACUGACAAACCCAAGGUACACUCUGUAAUUGUAAAGCCUGAGCUUGACCAGAGGAGAACGAAGAAAAUAUACCUCCUUCCUUUCCUAUACUAUAGUGUUGGGGGAAUAUAGGUGUGAAGUAUCACAUAUACUAGUUGGUUUUGUCAAACUGCUUUUUAUCCUUUUGUUGCAAAUGAAUAUGUAUGUUGCAAAUAAAAAAUUGACUGGUCCCUAAAA
Monodelphis domestica (gray short-tailed opossum) is the source of this 2214-nucleotide long non-coding RNA. RefSeq lists it as uncharacterized. Lineage: Eukaryota; Metazoa; Chordata; Mammalia; Didelphimorphia; Didelphidae. The record is from RefSeq and is a predicted model, not a curated record.